GACGAACGCUGGCGGCAUGCCUAAUACAUGCAAGUCGAGCGAACAGAUGAAGUGCUUGCACUUCUGACGUUAGCGGCGAACGGGUGAGUAACACGUAAGGAAUCUACCUAUAAGCGGGGGAUAACAUUCGGAAACGGGUGCUAAUACCGCAUAAUAUCUUCUUCCGCAUGGAAGAAGAUUGAAAGACGGCUCUGCUGUCACUUAUAGAUGACCUUGCGGUGCAUUAGUUAGUUGGUGGGGUAAUGGCCUACCAAGACAAUGAUGUAUAGCCGACCGGAGAGGGUGAUAGGCCACGUUGGGACUGAGACACGGCCCAAACUCCUACGGGAGGCAGCAGUAGGGAAUCUUCCGCAAGGGGCGAAAGCCUGAGGGGGCAAUGCCGCGUGAGUGAAGAAGGCCUUCGGGGCGUAAAACGCUGUUAUAAGAGAAGAACAAAUUGUAGAGUAACUGCUACAGUCUUGACGGUAUCUUAUCAGAAAGCCACGGCUAACUACGUGCCAGCCGCCGCAGUAA
This 513-nucleotide ribosomal RNA is filed under the name uncultured bacterium. RNAcentral's name for it is "partial 16S ribosomal RNA". It matches the Rfam family "Bacterial small subunit ribosomal RNA", at positions 28 to 523 of the family's 1533-position model. The record is from RNAcentral.